RNAcentral lists this ribosomal RNA (253 nucleotides) under uncultured bacterium. RNAcentral describes it as "partial 16S ribosomal RNA". It matches the Rfam family "Bacterial small subunit ribosomal RNA", at positions 524 to 776 of the family's 1533-position model. The record is from RNAcentral.
UACGAAGGGGGCUAGCGUUGCUCGGAAUCACUGGGCGUAAAGCGCACGUAGGCGGAUCUUUAAGUCAGGGGUGAAAUCCUGGAGCUCAACUCCAGAACUGCCUUUGAUACUGAAGAUCUUGAGUUCGGGAGAGGUGAGUGGAACUGCGAGUGUAGAGGUGAAAUUCGUAGAUAUUCGCAAGAACACCCGUGGCGAAGGCGGCUCUCUGGGACGGUACUGACGCUGAGACGCGAAAGCGUGGGGAGCGAACAGG